Molecule: long non-coding RNA, 1072 nt
Organism: Nylanderia fulva
Lineage: Eukaryota; Metazoa; Arthropoda; Insecta; Hymenoptera; Formicidae
Source: RefSeq, a predicted model, not a curated record
GCCUCUGUCAAUUCCCACGAUCUAUCGAUGACGCGUUUGGGACGUAUUAUUUUGGUCGGUGUAUGUACAGUGAAUAAGCAGACCCCGGCUCGAUGCAUACACUGAUUAUUCAGCAAAGAGCACAAGGAACACAAGUGUUUGGGUCAAAUGAUUGGAUUCUGGAAAAAGAUGACUUUUUAUACCAAUCCAAGUUUUUGAAUGAAACGAAGAAAGAUUGGAUUCUGCAAAUUAUGAUUGUGCAACAAUUUAUCAUUGCAAAUUAGACGAGAAGGACUCCAAUCUUCAUACCAAUUUCAUACCAAUCAGAGGACUUCAUACCAAUCAGAGUUUUUGGAUAAUCUUAUCUAGCAGCAUUUUAGAAAUUCCUAUCUAUGGAGCAAAUUCUUAUCUAUGGGAACAAUACGAUUCUUUUCGUAUUGUUCAGAGGUUGGAUUUCAAGACUGGACUUUGAAAAUUAUUAAGAGCAAUUAUUAACGGCAAUUAUGGAAGAAAAAAUCGUAUCCGUGCCUUCCUGGUUUUUGCCCAAAUUUGUUAUUCCAAAAUUAUGGGUAUACUGUAUUCGAGGGAGCGAGCACGACGACAAGCGAAACGGAUAGAGACGGACAGAGAACGCGUUCGAGGAGGAAUACGAGGGUUCUCCCUUGUGUAGUGGGGUUUCGCAGACCUCUCCCCGAACCCACCAGCCGGUCGGACACAUCGAAUUAUCUCUGAAAAAAUGUGUAUGUGCCGCCGCGCCGAUAUACAAGCGCGCGCGCCGAUUAAUUAUUAAUACCGUCUAAAACUCGAGAGAAUAAUAUAAAUGUCAUCGCGGAAUGAUCGUUCGUGACAAGCGGUUUUUUCACUACUUUACUUUUUGUGCAUAGUUUUUCGCAAUUUUACUCCUUUAUAACAUAAUUUAUUUAAUAUAAGGAUCCUUAUAUUAAAUAAAUUAUGAUAUAAAGGAGUAGAAUUAUUCCUCGAGGAAUAAGUGAGAAUAUUUUAUUAGGAUUUAUCGAGGAAUCAAGAUAUCUCGUUUCUCAUAUCAACUUUUUGAAAUUAAUUUUUUUCUCCUGGUUUGAUUUUUUUAUCUUUA